This 685-nucleotide long non-coding RNA is filed under the name Nicotiana benthamiana. Its description in RNAcentral is "long non-coding RNA (NBEN_LNC008118)". The record is from RNAcentral. Lineage: Eukaryota; Viridiplantae; Streptophyta; Magnoliopsida; Solanales; Solanaceae.
UCACAUAUUAUCAACUUAUCACUGAGGAGUUGAAUAAGGAUCCAAAGUAGGAUCAUCAACAGGAGCGGAUUCAAAUUGAUUUGUAAGAUCAUCAGUAGGAGCGGGUUUAACUUGGCUCGAAGGAAUUGGAGCACUCACCAUACCCACUUCAUCUCCAAUGUUUUCAGAAGUUUCAGCCACGGGAGAAGGAAAAUUUUGAUUCUGCUAUGUUUUUUCAAUAGUCUCUUUGAUUUUGGCUAACUCAGACUCCAAGUUAAAAUUAUCUUAGCUAACUUCAACAAGGGUAUCAUGGCGAGAAUUUAAAAUUCCCAACUCACUUCAAUUGUGAUUUUAUCUUCAAGAAUCUCAUAAUCUCUUUCCCAGCCAGCAAUUUCAUUUCUUAGCUUCUCAUUCUCAGCCAAGGCAGACUCAUAAAACGUUUGAAGAGAAGCCUGUGAAUUUUCUAGAAAACGAACUUCUUUCAGAAGAUUCCCGGAGGUCUUCUUGAGUUUGAUUCACGGUUUGUACGAGUUCACCAGCAUAUACUUCUUUUUUACCUAAUAGAGCCUUCAACUCUCUGAUCUCUUCACUUGCCUUGGAGAGUUGCUCAGAAAAUGAGGUUUCAAGACGAUUCUUUUCCGUACGUGCUUGACUUGAGGAAGCUUUUUCAACUGCCAACUCUGAAGUGAAAGCCCUUACCUGCUGC